This 468-nucleotide ribosomal RNA is filed under the name uncultured bacterium. Its description in RNAcentral is "partial 16S ribosomal RNA". It matches the Rfam family "Bacterial small subunit ribosomal RNA", at positions 28 to 507 of the family's 1533-position model. The record is from RNAcentral.
GACGAACGCUGGCGGCGUGCUUAACACAUGCAAGUCGAACGGCAAGGCCCUGCUUUUGUGGGGUGCUCGAGUGGCGAACGGGUGAGUAACACGAGAGUAACCUGCCCUUGACUUUGGGAUAACUUCAGGAAACUGGGGCUAAUACCGGAUAGGAGCUCCUGCUGCAUGGUGGGGGUUGGAAAGUUUCGGCGGGUGGGGAUGGACUCGCGGCUUAUCAGCUGGUUGGUGGGGUAGUGGCUUACCAAGGCUUUGGCGGAUAGCCGGCAUGGGAGGGGGGACGGCGUCAAGGGUACUGAGAGAGGCACCAGACGGGAAUGGGAGGCAGUGGGGGGAAACAUGACACAGUGGUCGGGAGUGGGUGAAGGAAGCCCUGGGUGUGGAAAGACGGCUUGCUGGGUGAAAACCGCUGUAGGCUGAUACGAAGCGGUAGUGACGGUAAUGAAUAAAGAAGCACCGGCUAACUACGUG